GGUGAGUAACGCGUGAGAAUCUGGCUCCAGGUCGGGGAUAACAGUUGGAAACGACUGCUAAUACCGGAUGUGCCGAGAGGUGAAAGAUUUAUUGCCUGGAGAUGAGCUCGCGUCUGAUUAGCUAGUUGGUGGUGUAAGGGACCACCAAGGCGUCGAUCAGUAGCUGGUCUGAGAGGAUGAUCAGCCACACUGGGACUGAGACACGGCCCAGACUCCUACGGGAGGCAGCAGUGGGGAAUUUUCCGCAAUGGGCGAAAGCCUGACGGAGCAAUACCGCGUGAGGGAGGAAGGCUCUUGGGUCGUAAACCUCUUUUCUCAAGGAAGAAGAAAGUGACGGUACUUGAGGAAUAAGCAUCGGCUUAACUCCGUGCCAGCAGCCGCGGUAAUACGGAGGAUGCAAGCGUUAUCCGGAAUGAUUGGGCGUAAAGGGUCUGCAGGUGGAACUGAAAGUCUGCUGUUAAAGAGUUUGGCUUAACCAAAUAAAAGCGGUGGAAACUACAGAACUAGAGUGCGGUAGGGGCAAAAGGAAUUCCUGGUGUAGCGGUGAAAUGCGUAGAUAUCAGGAAGAACACCGGUGGCGAAAGCGUUUUGCUAGACCGUAACUGACACUGAGGGACGAAAGCUAGGGGAGCGAAUGGGAUUAGAUACCCCAGUAGUCCUAGCCGUAAACGAUGGAUACUAGGCGUGGCUUGUAUCGACCCGAGCCGUGCCGGAGCUAACGCGUUAAGUAUCCCGCCUGGGGAGUACGCACGCAAGUGUGAAACUCAAAGGAAUUGACGGGGGCCCGCACAAGCGGUGGAGUAUGUGGUUUAAUUCGAUGCAACGCGAAGAACCUUACCAAGACUUGACAUCCUGCGAAUCCUGGUGAAAGCUGGGAGUGCCUUAGGGAGCGCAGAGACAGGUGGUGCAUGGCUGUCGUCAGCUCGUGUCGUGAGAUGUUGGGUUAAGUCCCGCAACGAGCGCAACCCUCGUUUUUAGUUGCCAGCAUUAAGUUGGGCACUCUAGAGAGACUGCCGGUGACAAACCGGAGGAAGGUGAGGAUGACGUCAAGUCAGCAUGCCCCUUACGUCUUGGGCUACACACGUACUACAAUGCUACGGACAGAGGGCAGCAAGCCAGGGAUGGCAAGCGAAUCCAGAAACCGUAGCUCAGUUCAGAUCGAAGGCUGCAACUCGCCUUCGUGAAGGAGGAAUCGCUAGUAAUUGCAGGUCAGCAUACUGCAGUGAAUUCGUUCCCGGGCCUUGUACACACCGCCCGUCACACCAUGGAAGUUGGUCACGCCCGAAGUCAUUACCCCAACCGAAAGGAGGGGGAUGCCUAAGGUAGGACUGGUGACUGGGGUGAAGUCGUAACAAGGUAGCCGUA
This 1365-nucleotide ribosomal RNA is filed under the name Cylindrospermopsis raciborskii. RNAcentral describes it as "16S ribosomal RNA". It matches the Rfam family "Bacterial small subunit ribosomal RNA". The record is from RNAcentral. Lineage: Bacteria; Bacillati; Cyanobacteriota; Cyanophyceae; Nostocales; Aphanizomenonaceae.